GCUGGGCACAGUGGCAUAUGCCUGUAAUCCCAGCUACUCAGGAAGUUGAGGGAAGAAGAUCACUUUAGCCCAGGAGUUUGAAGCCAGCCUGACAACACAGAAAGACCUCUUUCAA
Molecule: small RNA, 115 nt
Filed under: Marmota monax (woodchuck)
Lineage: Eukaryota; Metazoa; Chordata; Mammalia; Rodentia; Sciuridae
Source: RNAcentral